CGGGACGUCACCUGGGUGCUCGCGUCCUCCCCGCGCGGCGGACAGCCCGGGCGCCCUUCCUCUCUGCGGGACUGCAGGUCUAUCCGCUAAGCGCGCGUGACCAAAAACGGCUCUCAGCGGGUCCCAGCUGACGGAAGGUGGGGGAGGAGUGCGAGGGUCUCUGAGACAGGUUGGGAGCCAGCCCCACCUCCAUUUCCAAAGCGGGGGUCCAGGCACAGGAACAGCCAAACGCCCGAACCAGCGGGGUUACCUUUGCCACUUCAUCCAAUCCGAGCAUCGGCUGACAAGUUUAUUUAAUCCCUGAACCUGGAUCCAAGGCAUCUCCCUGUAGAAAACAUCAGACCGGGGCAGAGAUUGACAAAGCAACCCAAAGCAGCAGCUGCCAACGGCCGCUGUGCCCACCUCAUCAGCAGCUAAAGAGUAUAAUUUUAAAAAAAGUCACAGAAGAAUGUGGAGACACUUAGCAAAACGGACUCUCAUAAGGAGGCUGAUGGACUACAUCCAUGGGGUACUUUGUCCUCUGGCUUCCAAUUAGAUUCAGAC
RNAcentral lists this long non-coding RNA (543 nucleotides) under Homo sapiens (human). RNAcentral's name for it is "non-protein coding MCHR2-AS1:2". The record is from RNAcentral. Lineage: Eukaryota; Metazoa; Chordata; Mammalia; Primates; Hominidae.